Molecule: ribosomal RNA, 425 nt
Filed under: uncultured rumen bacterium
Lineage: Bacteria
Description: bacterial SSU rRNA
Rfam family: Bacterial small subunit ribosomal RNA
Source: RNAcentral
GUGAGGAAUAUUGGUCAAUGGGCGAAAGCCUGAACCAGCCAAGUAGCGUGCAGGACGACGGCCCUAUGGGUUGUAAACUGCUUUUAUAGGGGAAUAAAGUUAUCCACGUGUGGAUAUUUGCAUGUACCCUAUGAAUAAGGACCGGCUAAUUCCGUGCCAGCAGCCGCGGUAAUACGGAAGGUCCGGGCGUUAUCCGGAUUUAUUGGGUUUAAAGGGAGCGUAGGCGGUAUAUUAAGCGUGUUGUGAAAUGUAGGUGCUCAACAUCUGACUUGCAGCGCGAACUGGUUUACUUGAGUACGCACAACGUAGGCGGAAUUCGUCGUGUAGCGGUGAAAUGCAUAGAUAUGACGAAGAACUCCGAUUGCGAAGGCAGCUUACGGGAGCGCAACUGACGCUGAAGCUCGAAAGUGCGGGUAUCGAACAGG